Molecule: ribosomal RNA, 400 nt
Filed under: uncultured bacterium
Lineage: Bacteria
Description: bacterial SSU rRNA
Rfam family: Bacterial small subunit ribosomal RNA
Source: RNAcentral
UAGGGAAUAUUAGAAAUGGGCGGAAGCCUGAUCUAGCAACACCGCGUGUGCGAUGAAGGCCUUCGGGUCGUAAAGCACUUUUUGGAGGGAAUAGGAAGGAAGGUACCUCCAGAAUAAGUCUCGGCUAACUACGUGCCAGCAGCCGCGGUAACACGUAGGAGGCAAACGUUAUCCGGAUUCACUGGGCGUAAAGCGCGUGCAGGUGGUUUCGUAAGUAGGGCGUGAAAGCUCCCGGCUCAACUGGGAGAGGCCGUACUAAACUGCGGAGCUAGAGGAUGGUAGAGGGAGGUGGAAUUCCAGGUGUAGUGGUGAAAUGCGCAGAUAUCUGGAGGAACACCAGUGGCGAAGGCGGCCUCCUGGACCAUACCUGACACUCAGACGCGAAAGCUAGGGUAGCAAA